GCAGCUUUGUGGCUCCCGGCCGCAGACUCCUGCUGCUGCUUAAUAUGCUGUUAAAUUGCAUUAAAAUUUGAAAGAGUUGGCAUACGAUUGCGGUUUUGGGUCACGGCGCCGUCUGGUGUCCCAGAUAAGCGCAUUACGAACUGCAGGCCAGGGACAUGCUGAGGUGAAGGCUUAUUUAUGGCACAUACUGAAGGAAAUGAAAGCGAGAGCCCUGGAAGGAAAACCUCUUGGCAAAACAGACCCCAACUGACCGCUGAUGGCCACUGCCAGUUGGCAAUAAUUGCCUGGCAAAUAAUUGAAUGAGAAUUGAGAGCGUGCCUUACUCUGACUCUGACUCUGACUCUGUCCCUGCCCCAGCCAUAGCCCUGGUUGUGGCUCUUUCGCAUUUAAAAUGCAAUAACCGGAUUAGAUUGUGUUGCUGCCACAUCAGCAUGUCCUCCUCGCUGGACUCGCAUUUGUUGUUGUUGUUGUUGUUGUUGCUGCUGCUGCUGUGGUCGCAUGUUACUCUGGUAUUUAUAGAGUUUUAACGCAAUCGCAAUUUCGGUUGACAUUUUGCGCUUUCGGCCAUUUUCCAACCUGCAAACUCCAUUGUUGCCGCUCUGUCGAUAGACGUCUGCAGGUAGACUUCAGCCCCAACCCAAGCAGCUUCCCAGCUCCCAG
This 660-nucleotide long non-coding RNA is filed under the name Drosophila guanche. The record is from RNAcentral. Lineage: Eukaryota; Metazoa; Arthropoda; Insecta; Diptera; Drosophilidae.